AAAAAAAAACACUUAGGAAAAAAUCCUGUGGGAGUGAGGGGCUCAGCCAGAGACUCCAGUGAGCCUUGCCCAUGUCUUCACAUGAGCUAGUGUUUCUAACAAGGUAUGCAAGGUGCCAGGCAUUCCCUGUGGUUUCACCAUAUUUGCAGGCCAGUUGGAGUCGUUGACAUUACAAAGUCAACAUUUACAGGUGGAAAGUCAUCCAGGUGGGGAGACAGCCAUUGUAGAAAAAGCAAAAAUAUCCUUUCCACUAGGCAGUUGUGGGAAGCCAUAAAUAUGCCAGUGCUGGAUGGGUGGGGGGAGGGCACAAGCAGAACAGCAAAAGAAAACUAAUUCAUUUUUGGGGUCAGGAAAGUUGAAAAAGUCCUCUCUUUCCCCUGUAGGAUGGGAUACUGUGGUCAACCCCUGUUUGGAAGAUGAAACAGCAGUGACUUGAGCCAUGCUGCCUCGAAGGCAGAUCCAUGCCAAGAUCAUCCCUCUUUCAGUUCUACUUUCAGGAUGUAACUCCCUUAGCAGUAACACUGAGGUAUCCUGAAGAGAAGUUUUGUGCAAUCCCAGCUGUGCUGAUUUUUCCAGUAAGAAGGUAUCUAGGAGUUACAUUUCAGUUCAGGAGAGCACGGACUGGACUGCUGGACCUUCCCCCACCAAGAUCUCAAAAUUGGGAUAUGUCAGAAGAGCCUACAGGUUGUUAUUCAGGCUUAUUGCCCCUGAGCCUACACCAAGAGGAUGAACAAGAAUUGUAA
This 743-nucleotide long non-coding RNA is filed under the name Cyanistes caeruleus (blue tit). RNAcentral describes it as "lncRNA (ENSCCEG00000007892.1)". Lineage: Eukaryota; Metazoa; Chordata; Aves; Passeriformes; Paridae. The record is from RNAcentral.